Molecule: regulatory RNA element, 45 nt
Organism: Mesitornis unicolor (brown roatelo)
Lineage: Eukaryota; Metazoa; Chordata; Aves; Mesitornithiformes; Mesitornithidae
Rfam family: Histone 3' UTR stem-loop
About the family: The mRNAs of metazoan histone genes lack a poly-A tail. 3' end processing occurs at a site between a highly conserved stem-loop (modelled by this family) and a purine rich region around 20 nts downstream (the histone downstream element, or HDE).
Source: Rfam
CCAAAGGCUCUUUUAAGAGCCACCCACUUAGUCUCGAAAGAGCUG